GUCCACGCCCUAAACUAUGGAUACUCGGUGUGGGAGGGAUUCGACCCCUUCCCGUGCCUUAGCCAACGCGUUAAGUAUCCCGCCUGGGUAGUACGGUCGCAAGACUAAAACUCAAAGGAAUAGACGGGACCCACACAAGCGGUGGAACAUGAGGUUUAAUUCGAUGGUAAACGAGGAACCUUACCCAGGCUUGACAUCUCGGGAAUCCUCUGGAAACAGGGGAGUGCCGUAAGGAACCCGAUGACAGGUGCUGCAUGGUCGUCGU
This 265-nucleotide ribosomal RNA is filed under the name uncultured bacterium. Its description in RNAcentral is "partial 16S ribosomal RNA". It matches the Rfam family "Bacterial small subunit ribosomal RNA", at positions 793 to 1055 of the family's 1533-position model. The record is from RNAcentral.